Molecule: long non-coding RNA, 10351 nt
Filed under: Xyrichtys novacula (pearly razorfish)
Lineage: Eukaryota; Metazoa; Chordata; Actinopteri; Labriformes; Labridae
Source: RNAcentral
CCAGCUCCUGUAAACACGCAGCGUUUUAAUGCGAGCCGGUCAGCAUGAUGCAUUCACACCUAUGCUCGCAGAUAAGCUAGUUAAUGCUAUCACUUAAAUGCAGACCCACUCAUGUGUGGUAUUGCUGUAAACCGUUUAUUCAAACCAGCCAGACACUCGUAAACAAACACGCACACUUGCUGUAAGUGUCCACCUGUGUCUUUGUGCUGCUGGAGGAGGGAGGGUGCGCGCAUCUUUCAAUAUCAAUGAGGUGUCCAUGUCUGCUCCAUUAGCUCCACAGUGAAUAAGGAAGAGUGCAUCAGCUCUGAAGCCUGCGCCUCUCUUGUCGCUGUAUAGCUGUAAAACGCCCUGAGUUCGAUGUAGAGCUGUGUUUUUUCAGCCUGGAUGCACAUUUGGCUCGGCGGCUCUGUGAAAAGAAAACGCUCGAGUCCAUGUUGACUUCCCUCACAUCCCACAAGUCAUCAAUUUUGCAGCGAGCGCAGAAACACAAUAUUUUUUUCACUCUGAUUUCAUAGCCAUUUUGCUCUGGACUUGAACCCAAAGCCCUAAAAUCUCCUCUUUGAUGUGCCCCCACUGUUGUGCCCAUUGUACAUUUUUACAUUCAUAUUCCAGGCAUUAAGCUUAAGCUGUCCUACAAAGCGACUUAGAGCGUGUGAGCGCCAAUUUAAAUCACCAAAAGUGUUUUUAAAAGACCUCCAUUUUUUUUUGAAGGGGCUGAUCUCUGAUCAAAACGUUUCUGCUGUAAAUAUUCAUCUUAAAUUGGCGGAAAUUAUCAUAUGAUACAUCUCCUCCCAAGGCUCUCGGGUGAGUUCAAAGACUCCCAGAUAACAUUUUGAACUCCCUGAACUCAUUUGAAUCACAAAAAUGGAAGUAGGUGAACCCCGGGUCGCAAAUUAUCAUCUGGCAAAAGUGUGUGUAAAAAAGAUCAUGUUUUAAACUUGGAGAGUUCGCAGUGAGAGAAAAGUUCAAGAGCUGAAACACCAAUAUUCCUCUUUUAUGACCUUCAUUUUUCUCUCUUAGUGGCACACUCUGCUUGUUUGGAGUUUAGCCCCUGGUCACAGGUAAUAAAAUACUUUCAUACAGUAAAUCCAGGGUGUUGUUCGGCUCUGAACAUGAGCUGUCAUACAUCCAGUGUCACUCUUUUAUGGCGCUGGUGUGUUUUAAUUCAAGGACACUCAGUUUUAGAUCGCUCUUCUGUUUGUGAAUUGUAUGAAACGCUCGGGUCAGACCAUGCCAGUAGCUCUGCGAGGCUGUUCUUUGAACUCAGAGUCAAUGCCAUGUUGUGUUGACAUUAGCAUGACAAUGAUAAUGAAAGAAGACAAAGCUAAUACAAAGAGAUUAGCGGGUUUAUUGUUUACAUCUGCAUAAUUAUCAUGUUAACAUUUGCUAAUUAACAGAUUAUUUAGAUCUGAAGGUAUUUACAUACAGAGACAUUUAGAGAAAUAAAGACUUGGGUUAUACGAGGUGAUAAAGUAAAAAGAGAUCAUCUAAAGCACUUUAUGAUAACUACAUUUGCUCCCUGGGUGUAGUGAGAUGCACUCUGAUACCAUGUCUUGCACCAGUUGGGGUAUCCUGUUAUGAUGUGGUAUUUUACCCAGAAGGCAACACUUCAAAAGCAAGCGGCAACACGGCAACAUAAAGCAUGUUGAACACAGCCAAUCAAGGACCGGUUUAGGAUCACUUUCUUCUUUAUUAGGUCAUAAUCAUGCAUUUAUAAAAAACUGUAUCAACCCUUUGGAGUGCUGGGGUGAAUAUUUUUUGUAGGAUGGUAAGGGAAGAUCCCGCCUUCCUUCGCCCCUGAUUGGCUAGAAGUGCUGGGCUCUGAUUGGUUAUUCCUAAUGGCUGUGGAACAUCAUCCUCUGUCCGGUUAGGGUUAGGGUUAGGGUUCGGGUUCGGGUAAGGGUCAGGGUUAGGAUUAGGAGAGACAACAGCCUAUGUUUGGCUUGAGCAUGUGAUGACGUUUCCAGCUUUUCUAGCCAAUCAGAGGCAAAGGAGGCGGGACUUUCCCCUACUGUCCUACAAAAAAAAAAAAAAUUCUGUGUCGGGGUAGGUACCAGAUGUGUUCAGGCUGCCAGAUUGCCAGCGCCUGUUGAAAACAUUACACUACGACAUGUCCACUCCAACAAACUACAUGACACUCCAUUUAAUAAGACAAAUGUGCAAAUGUGCUUCAAUCAACCCCGAAAUUUUUCUCCAAAUAAUACAAAGAAUUACAACUGACUGUACUGUAAUUUUCAGAUGCCUUAAAUUGUAUAUGUUAACUUUUCUAAAGGAAAAGGAAAAAAAUGUAUGCAGGAUCUCUUUUUUACAAUAGAUAGUUUUGCUUUUUUUUACACAAUUCCUUUGGCAGCCUAAAAGAAACAGUAGUCAGUCUGCUGUAAAUCCCCUUUGAUAAAUUGCGAUAGAUUACUUAGUAAAACCUAAUCCAGCGAAAACUGCUUCUUCGAUGUCCAAACCAACCGCAAUCUUCUACGUCAUCCUAACCAACUUCCAGCCAAUUAUAUACCAUGACGUCAUCAAUGGGGGCCUGGCCCAAAGCUUAUCUGGCAGCCCAAACACAUCUGGUACCUACACCGGUUUGGUUGAAAGACUCUACAACGUUAAAUCUCUGUGAAUUGGUUCAAGGCAUCAGGUCUUUAUGCACCUCAUGACUAUCAGUAGGCUGAGCUCAACUAUGAAGGUGCCUGACAUGGUGGCAAAACCAGAUGGUACUAGAAAGAUGGAUGCAAAAGUUAUAUGCAUUAAAACGUCAGGUUUUUGUCUAUCAGCUCUGUCCUUUGUUUGCUUCAGAUAUACAGUUUAUCCCAAAAUAAUACACAUAAUCAGUUUUUCCUGCAGAUUCAUGUCAUAAAAGUGUUUUUAGUUGGUUGAAAAAAGGUCUCUGGGCGUCUAUACUUCCCUCCCAAAGGUCUAAGCAAUCCCAGUUCGUGCUCACUGGCCUGUCGUUGUGUAUUUGUGAGAACAAACCUUGUCAUUUUUUCACUUUCAUGUGUUUUAUUCUUGUAAACAUACAUACUGUACAUGUUCAAUAAUUUAAGCUCCUGUGCCGCUCCAGCUUUCCCUUUUAUGAAAUUUAAACUGAACAAAAUGUGACGUAAAAAAAACUCCCGGAGCAGCUUUCGUCCGUCACCCACGAGGCGUGAAAUCGUUUGAUCCUGUUCGUUGUGUUUCGCUUUAUUCUGUGUGAGAGAGUUUGUGCUGUUUCUGUGUGUGUUUUUAAAAUGCUCCCGGAGCGGUAAAAGGUGGAGAGAAAAGGGAGGGGUUUGCAGGAAGGAAGGAAGGAAGGAAGGAAGAGAGCUGCUGUGUUUGUUUUGUAUGAGGCGAGAGGGGAGGAUGGGUGCUGUCCUUUAGUCCAUCCGUCGGCACUUGUUUGUGUGUGUGUGAAUGUAUAGAGGAAGUUACGGGUUAAUGGACAUUAAGUCUGUCCUAGGGUGAUAGCCAGAGUGGAGGGCGGAGGGUGAUACACCCACAGCAAGGUCAGAGGUCAGGGUUAAAAGCCAAGCGAUGCCUGCAAGGACUAGCAAUCAUCUGGGAUUGCACCGUGGGUCAGUGUGUGCGUGUGGAGCUGUGGUACAUGACGGAGGGUUUGAAAAGGAUGUCAGGAAAGGAGAGGUGGAGAAAAUGUAGGGCAGGAAGAGGACAACGGAAAACACAGACACGCAGCGCUGAAGAAAAGAGGACAGGCAGGGGGUUCAAAACGUUCCUUUCCUCUUCUCCUUUUUUUUUUUUUUCUCCGACAUCAGCUCACUUCGAAGAAACGACCCAGCUUGCUUCUCCCUACAGGGACUCAUCUUACAGUAUCAAAAAAUACUCUAACAAGGAAUACACACGAGAGAUCACUCAGACAAGAAUCACACACACACACUCUCACACACGUGCGCAUACAAAUCAACAAGCACAGCCAAGACACACACAGGAGCUAAUCAGAACAUGUGGCCUAUUUCUCUCUAUGUUUUAAUGAGCUCUCCAUUGUGGAGUGCUGACUGAUAUUAUUAGGCUGCCGUGUCUCAGCUCAUUAGCUAAACCAGGCUCAACAACAACACCAGCAGCUAAAAGAUGAUUUGAUACCGCCUGCAGAGUUAUGCGACGCGGCAGGACCUUAAAGAGGCCACGGUGAGAGACGGAGCCAGAGAGUUAAUUUGGUCACCAGGGGGACGGCGAGGCUCAAUCUCGCUUCUUAUGACACAGCGAGGGGAUCAUAAGAGCGGGGUUUGAUAGAAAGAAGAGAAAAAUACAUCAUAGAGCGACUCCAGCCGUCUCCCCCGGCUUUCAUAAAGUUCUCGGCUGAUGCGGCUUGAAGAUUCAGUGUGCAAUUUCAGCAGUGGAGUGGUGGCAGUGGAGAGAAGACGCCAACGACACCACACAGAGAACAAUAGCGUCGCUGGCAAAUCUGUUCCUAACUGAGUGUUAUUGCUCUGUGGCGAAUGGCUCCAUUUUCAUCCAGGCUUUGUUGGGAUUGUCUCUGCUAAAUGCCACUAAAGCAGCUAAAUGAAUCAAACCGAAAAUGAAAUAAAAGACUCUGCCUUUUGGUGUUUACAUGCCAUUAAAACUAGCAACUCUGCUAGCUUCGCGAUACACGAGCCAGCAUGUUUACACGACUCCAUGGUUGUGUCGGAAACCAUCUGCUCAUUAACUAUUCCCAUAUUCACUGUAAAAGACUGCUGUAUUUGUGUCAGACACAUUGGGUAAUUUUGGGUAGUUUUUUUUAACCUCCUCCAGUGAAAUGCAUGAUGUCUGUUCGUGCUUGACGAGAGACCGAGCGCACAUUAACCUUCCUACACACCCAGGCCAUACUUACUGGGAGUUACUGUAUACUUAAUACCAACCUUGUGGUUAGGAUGCCAUCUACAACAUUUAUAUCUUGGCCUCAUAUGACUUCAUCAGUGACUGCUAAGGUCAACUGCCUCAAGAUAGAAAUUACCAACUAGAUACACCAUCUGAUACACAAACCCACAUAUGGUUAGUUAAAUCCAGCCUGAUCUAGCUAUGACUCAUAAAACUUGCUUUACAUUACUAUCGACAAGCUAACGACAAACUUUUUUGUCAUAAUAUCACUGUUUCCAAAGAUCUUUUUAAUUAUGAAUACAGAAAAAUGGCCUGAAACACCUCAUAUGGGCAAUGAUCUGCUAUUAUAAAAGCUAUUUCUCAAUAGCAGAUGGUUGCUAAGAAAAACAGACUGUUGCUGGUAAUGUGCCUCUAAUUACAGCCUCUUGCGAACCGACUGUAAUCACAUGGUAAAUUUUAUGUUGGUUUGUUCAUGGUGUGGAGAAAAACAGAAAAAAAAAACAGAGCAGAAAUGGAAAACUAAACAGAGAAACCUCAGAAAUUAAAGAUCAUGUGUGAAAUAAGCACUUAACUAAAUGGGAUUUGGUGUGAGCGAUUGCAGCUCAACCAACUGUUGCAAUAAACUCCUUUUUUGGCCUUCGGGAAACAGACAGAAAUUUAUAUUAAUGGAUUUUUAUGAUAUAAAAAAGCAAAUCAAACCAUCAGCAGCAAGACUGGUCAUUUCUACACUUAAAAUUUUGAUGCCCGAUACUUGUGCAGAUGGUAGGUGUCAAUGGAGACCAUAGACUGUAUAUAGAAUGACACCGUCUGCUUCCUUGCUAGGUAAAGCCAUCCCAAGAACAGCACCCUCUAGUGAUGGGUUGCAGUAUAGGUCAUAAAUCCCGCCUUCUCAAGCCAUCCCUAUGAAGCAGUGGACAAACUUUACAAAUUGAUUACACAGAAUAUACAUUUUUCUCCCUCCUGCUUGCGAUGUUGACAUGUAGUUAUUGUAAGACUGGUUUGUGCUCAAGUCCUCUUUUUUUCUGUACAGCUCCAUUUUUAAAAGUUAUUAGGGGGUUCAUGUUUUCUAUGAUUGACACUUGAUACAGCCUAUGGGUGUACAAAGAUUGCAUAGCACACCAGGGGGAUAUGCUCUUCGAGCCGAGCGUCCUCACAGCGACUCUCUGCGACUCCUCUCCUCUCCUCUGAGGGCACUUUGGCUUUAAAUUUGUGUAAUGAUAGAAGGCGAAGCCAAGUUGUCAAUAGUAAAUACAGUCUAUGAUGGAGACUGAAAAAAAAAGCCAAUUUCUUUAAGGUUUUCUAUAUUAAAUAUCCACCAAACUUAUUCAUUUGAUUUUCAAAAGUCAGCAGGAAGAUAUUUUGUUUUCCCAAAAGUUCCCCAGUGGAGCUUUAAGAAGAAAGAGAAGGUGACUGAAUGGAAAAAUGAAGCGAGAGACAGCAAACCGAAAACGGGGGUGAAAUGAGAGCGAGGUGCACACUUGAAAUGUUCAAGCUUUUCCCUCUGCAGAUGCCUUGAAUCUCUCCUCCAACAUCCUCUUCCUGCUCAUCUCCUCCUAUAGUGUUUACACACUGCCUCUCCACUUAAUCCGGCCUUCAGGAUGCCCACUUCACUUCGUUACCCCUCAGCGCAGUGAUAGAGGAGUAGAAGUUGAAGGAGAAACAAAAAAGAAAAAUUGCAAAGCUCUUGCAACAUCGCCAAACAUGUUUUUUUUUUUCUUUCUUCAUAACUCUUCUACUAUUUCUCUCAGCCUCUCAUCCCUCACACCCUCCCUCCAUCUCAAUCUCAAUCUGGGCUCACUCAAGCGUUGGCCGGCAUGGCCUCCAGCAUCGAUCCAAUAAAGCUGGUAUAGUCAGCACUGCGAAGCCUGGAGAGCUCUCAGCAAAAACCCUGCGUUUAAGCACGCUCAUUUAACAGCACGUCGCUAUGAUCUGAUCAGGGCUGGAGGGAGGCGGGGGACCGUGGAGGGUGUUUGAUUUUUUUUCCUUUAUUUUUUCAGGCUCUUCUUAUUUUCCUCUCAAAAGUGUAAUCAAUUACAGUCACAUUGGUUGGACAUGGGCACACAAACACGCGUGCACAAGCACACAUCUCCAAAUCUCAAUUACCUUCCCUGCCAAUCCACCAAACAGAGCAAAUGUUUGUUUGCCAGCUCUGAAAUUUAAUAUUCACGUAUGGGAAUAAAUCAGGAGGAAGGCGUAGGAGACAUGAAAAGUGCUACGUUUACUGAGGAGUUUUCUCUCUUUGUUCUGGGUUAAAGUAAAUACAGUUUGACAUUUUGUGGCUGUUUAAAAGUCAAUGGAUUCCCCUCUCCAAUGAGCAUCAUCAAAAGCACCAUUUCACUCACUGAUGCCGAGCAGCAGGUGCAGGAGGGAAAGCCUACAGAUGGUGUUUGUGCAUAUUUGUGUGCAUGUGUCUUCUAUGAAAUUCAAUUCAAACGGCAAAGUAGAAUAAUUGGUUUGAUUUAGCGUAAUUAAGCUUGGUGAAGUUUUUUGGCGAGUGAAUUAGAGAUGUAGCCGUUUUAACAGUAACCUUAAAAUCUUAUUUAAAUGUCAGUUUGUUCCAAAUUUCUCUCUCUAAAAGCCCAUUUCUUUACAUUUCUACUCUCUGAUUUGUGUCUACCCAUGCAGAUGGAGCUGCUUUUAAGCGCCGGGGUGUUUACUUUAUCCAUCCCGGUGAUGUGUCCUGCCAUUUAAACACAAUAGACAACAAUACAUUGCUUUGUAUGCUCACAGCAUUUCAAAAUGACAUUUAAAUGUAACCGCUCUGUCGCUCCCUGACUACUGUUGCCCAGUUUCUCAAAAAAAAACACUGUGAUAAGAAUUUAUUGGAACUGCUCUCUCCUAAAGAGAAAGGUCCGUGAAUUAAAACUGUGAAAUUAACUUUUUGUCAAUUAGCCCCCCAGACCUCAGCGUGCUCCAAAAAAAAAACGGCUUAUCAGAUUUAAUGCAGUUGUUUGAAACCCUUCGGCAAAAUUUGGCGAGGAUAUUUCCCGACCUUUAAAAAAAUCCAGCUGAUAAAGAUCCCUGUUUUACUGUAUGCAUUUAUUCACAAAGUUCUGUUGUACGGCCGAGUUGAACACCAUGAUGCCUCAGAGGAGUCAGUGUGUGCACUUUAUUUGUACUGAAAAAUUACUCCGAGACUACAAAGACAUGCAAAUCACAAAGAGAGAUCAGGGAUGAGACCCCGAGGAGGUGGCUGCAGGCUCAUCUCUCUGCCGCACUUUAGUCUUGAAACACUCACUGGAGACCCCAGUUGAGGUGUACUCUUUAGUAACAGGGACAGGUUCUGUGUGCCGCUCUUAAAUCUUCCUGCAGAGAAGCAUGCAAACUGAAUUUACUCCUGCAGCACGGCAACGUAAAUCUCAGCAACGGUGUCACAUUUAACACCCAGUAAAAAUUAAACUAUCAAUAUGACUUGAGGCCGUCAGACGAGUCAUUCUUUCAUUCACCAUUCGUCACUAAACCUCCACCGCCGAUCCCAGUUAAUCACAGUUUUUAAAAGAUUGUUUAACAUCCCAUCAUUUUGCAUUUCAGAAACUGUUUUUUGUCGACCUGAGGGAGGCACUAAGACUCGAGUUUUCCACAGUCUUGACUGGCCUGUUGCCAGCUGUCACCCCUUCCUAUAAGCACUACUGGUCGUCUACAGAUCUGAGGCAGUCUUACAGUUAUAUGGAGCAUUCUUACCACCCAAAGUGCUUCCUCACUACUCCUGACAUACACCCUACAUUCAGUUACUGAUGACAGAGGCUGCUAUGGUAGAGGACCAUCAGAUUAAUACACAUCCACCCAUGGCUGACUGUGCCACAGAAAAAAACAAGGUUUAGGGUCUUGUUCAUCUGCACGGAAAUUGUAAAGACUGAGGCAGGGAGAGCAGCAGCAAAGACCUCAGGGUAAGGCUGCAUGAUAUUGGAAAAAACUAACAUUGCAAUGUUUUUCAACCCUGCGAUAUAUAUUGCGAUAUUAAAAAAUAGAGGAAUUUUCACCAGAUGACCUGAGUAGCACUUUAUGUUAUGCUGCACUGCUGAAAUCUUGAGGACAGUUAACCUGCUCUGAUCUUACCUCUUCUGUGAAUGUUAGUAGAAUGGCUUCUUCUGUCUGUCUUAGAGAUAUUUUUAGCUUGUUUUUAUUGCGCUGGGACGUCAUUCUAGCAACAGAUGAACAUAGAGCACGUGUUUUGGUCAACAUCAUCCUUCUUGUAACUGAAAUAAUUCCAGAUAAAUGACGUUGCUUUUCAGUUUACCAACAUGUGUUUUUCCCUUGUUCAUGCGUUGUUGUUGAUGUUGUUACCGGUGUUUGCCAGCCGAAAAUUGCACGCACCUCGGAAACGCACACCACUUAUAGUAGAGUGGUCCACGGAAAUGUUCAAUUUAAAACUCAUACAGUUCUUAUUUGUGGGGCUAAACAGGGAUGAGUAAUGUUCUGAAAGUAAUUCUCAGCGGACACGCGUUUCUCGGCACAACACCGGCAGCGGCAGCGACUCACUCCAUGUGCAGGGGCGUAGUUUCCUCCUCUCUGAUUUUGAUAGAUGAGUUCAUUCGCCUCCUACAUCACAGGCUCUGCAAUGUGACUAUCGCUCACACGUACAUCGCAAUGACAAUGCUCGAGUGGUGUAUCGUGCAGCCCUACCUCAGGGUACAACUGCUGCAGUUUGGCAUGCCAAAAGACAAAAUAGCUAAAUUAUGCAUGUAAAUUAUGCACUUUGAGAUGACUAAAAGUAGGGGAUCAUUUUAUCAUUAUUAUUAUUAUUAUUAUUAUUAUUAUUUUAUCCUUUUAUUUGAUUGUUGAGUUCUUAGCUAAUAAGUCUUAACAAUUCUUAAUUGAGUUAAAACAGAUUGUUCUCUCUUUUAGCAGUGUUAUUUCUGUCUUGGCACAAAAGUUUUUCAGCACAGGUGGCUGCGAGAAAUUCACUUAGGGAAUCAGUCCAACAUUAUUAUUGAGAAUUAUUGUAGAAAAUUCAAUUUAAAAGGUUUUUUCAAUGUGAAACUUUCAACGAGUUAAAAGUAAACUUCUAAUGAGGGAGGAAUAAAUUGAAAAAGCUCUGUUCCUCGCUGACUUUAACGUAAUUCUUCUCAUAAGUGACAUUUUUCAGCUUGAAUUUGAGUGCACUUAAGAAAGAUUUAUGUCACAAAUUGAUGUCAUCGAGUCCACUCAAAACGAAUUAAAGACGAAAAAGGGUUCCUCAGAAGAAUACAAACGCAGACGUGUGUCACUGUGUGGGUGUGAAAUCCUCCUUUGCAGCGGUCCCACCUGCAGCAGCGUAACAAGUCAAUCAUCCGGCGCUGUUAUUAGACCGUAAUGUCACUCUGUAGCCCAACACUUGACAUGUUCAUUAGGUAUAAACCAAUUCAUUUACAACACAGAGCUGUGGGAUUGUCCUUGCUUGACAUUCAUUUCCCAACACAUUGCUGUUUGAUGCGACGCCAGCGCCAAUUAACUUUGAUAACUCAGCCCCGGUUUAAUAUACUGCCGCUGAAUGGGCUUGACAAGAGUGCAGCGAUAAGCUUUUUCGGAGCUUUUUGAGUGGCGAUAGCUGGAUUAUCACGCUGAGUGAGGGAGGGACGGAAACUUC